UACGGAGGGCGCGAGCGUUAAUCGGAAUUACUGGGCGUAAAGCGCGCGUAGGCUGUUGUGUAAGUUGGGGGUGAAAUCCCACGGCUCAACCGUGGAACAGCCCUUGAUACUGCGCGACUUGAAUCCGGGAGAGGGUGGCGGAAUUCCUAGUGUAGCGGUGAAAUGCAUAGAUAUCACGCAGAACUCCGAUUGCGAAGGCAGCAUACCGGCGCCCUACUGACGCUGGGGCACGAAAGCGUGGGUAUCGAACAGG
RNAcentral lists this ribosomal RNA (253 nucleotides) under uncultured bacterium. Its description in RNAcentral is "partial 16S ribosomal RNA". It matches the Rfam family "Bacterial small subunit ribosomal RNA", at positions 524 to 776 of the family's 1533-position model. The record is from RNAcentral.